UAUUUUUGCUAUAAAUCCAGCAAUAUUAUAGUUGGACUCGAUGAUUCUUUGGGUCCCUUCUCGCUUGUAUAUCCUAUGACAAUUCUAUUGUAUCUUUCUACCAAGCUCAGGCUGGGAGUGGAGCUGGAAACAGUGCAAGGAGCAUGUUGGAGUUGCUGUGGUCUCAGAAACUGAGGUGGAAGGUGAAGGGACUGAUAACUGCAGUGCAUGGGACUUCCCUGGGGAGCCUCUCUGGAUGCCUGGUCCUGUACAAUAUUGCCUGUGUUCGAGACCUUGGCACCACAUGGUGACAUCUUGAAGUAUUUCUUCUGUAAGUCUCUGCCUUCUGACAGGAGUGUUUCUCAGUUUGGCUGCUGAACAGACGUAUCCAGUAUUCACAUGGUGUUAAUCACUUUUACUGAGAUAUCAGGACCAAAAGAUGAACAGUGGAGAAAGAACUUUGUAUAAAAACAACAACAACAAAAACCACAACACAUUGGGAUAGUAGUCAUACCACAUACUGUGCUCCAGUGAAAGGUCAGGAUUUGUGUCAUCAACCAUUAUAUUUUCACAGUAUUGAUGUCUUUAUUUGAGCUCUAGUAAGUGGAGACGUUUAAUAGCUAGGGAAGAGGCAGUGAGAGCAGGGACAUGGGGCCUGGGAAG
RNAcentral lists this long non-coding RNA (642 nucleotides) under Anas platyrhynchos platyrhynchos (common mallard). RNAcentral's name for it is "lncRNA (ENSAPLG00000030701.1)". The record is from RNAcentral. Lineage: Eukaryota; Metazoa; Chordata; Aves; Anseriformes; Anatidae.